AAAUAAUUUUGCCUUGACUUGAACAUUAACAAAUGUCAGACCCUCCAGAAGUGGUUUGAAAGUGUUUACUAUGGUGUUGGCACAAACUUUGACACAAAGGAGAACAGACUGCUUGGAAAGGACAUCCCAUUUCUCCAGUGGAAAACUGCAUGUCAGUUUAAAAGGUUAUUUAAAAGAUAUUACUUUCCUGAAUUAUGUCUGUGAUGGAUAAACUGACAUUGAGCAACGAGUGGGUGACUGACAGUAUUUGAUGAUGAGUUUAGACAAGCAGUCAGUACAAUUCAGAAGUACCGUCUCCCUUCUGAAUGUCACACCUCAGUGGAAAAUCUACAAGAUGGAAAUAUCACUGAUACAACUAGAUCUGAUCAUAGGAAAUAUGGUAAAAAUGUUACUCAAAUCUUGAAUGGACUGCAAUCCAAGAAAACAUCCUAACAUAAAGUUAAGAAAAGCACACACUAUCUUCUUUUAUGAUAAUGUACAAAUGUAAGCUCUUUUAUCCAUGAGAAUUUCAAUAUCUUACCUACAGUUAAACAAAUCACAUAUUCACCAGUCUAGGUAUAGCUGUAAGUACUAAGUUACCACCUAAGCAAGUAGGUAAUAAAUGUUAAAAUGGACUUACACAGCAGCCAUUUUGUCCACUGCACAAGUAUAGCCACACCUAGGAUAAAAAAGGACAGCUAACUUUAUAGAAUAGAGUAGUCCCACAAACAGCACUGGCACAGAAGGAGCAAAUGAUAUUAUUAAUUUAAAUUCCUGCUACUGUGGGGAAACUGUAGAUAUUUAGAAAUUUGAAGGGACCAGUGCACCAAAGUUAGUUGUAAUAAAAAAUACUUCCAAAGGAAUUAAUUAUAGAUAUCAUCCAAAGGACAAAUACAGACUUCAUGUACGUUCAGAAAAGAAAAGAAAAUCACUAAUCCUCUUUGAACUGUACUAUUAAAUCCUUUGAGCUUUAGUAAUAAAAAUGCAUGGUCAUAAAUGCAUAUACAUGCAA
Dromaius novaehollandiae (emu) is the source of this 991-nucleotide long non-coding RNA. RefSeq lists it as uncharacterized. NCBI's taxonomy places the organism in Eukaryota, Metazoa, Chordata, Aves, Casuariiformes, Dromaiidae. The record is from RefSeq and is a predicted model, not a curated record. The transcript is spliced from 3 exons.